CUUGCACAAGCAACAUGGACAUGCCUGAAUUAGUGAAAAGGAGACUUUAUACAGUGAGAAGCAAAAACGAAUAGGGCAGUGACACAGCAACACCACGUUUCUUCCAGUGACCAGAUAGAGACGGGGUUUCACCAUGUUGGCCAGACUGGUCUUGAACUCCUGACCUUGCAAUCCACCAGCCUCGGCAUCCCAGAGUGCUGGAAUUACAGUCAGCUGCCACGACUUAAACUGCCCUAUGGAGAGGCCCAACUGGCAAGGAACUGAGGAAGACCUCCAGGUAACAGCCCAUGAGAAACUGAUGCCCUCAGUUCAACAGCCCACAAGGAACUGAAAUCUGCUGACAACUGCAUAGAUGAGCUUAGAAGCAGAUCCUUCUCCAGCCAAGCUUUCAAAUGAGACUGCAGCCCCAACUGGCACAUUGAUUGCAACUUGUGUGAAACCCUGAGCCAGAUGAUACAGUUAAGCUGACCUCAGAUUGCUGGCUCACAGAAACUGUGAGAUAAUAAAUACUGUUGUUUAAAGCCAGUAAGUUUUGAGGGGAUUUGUUAUAAAGCAAUAAACUAAUACAGAUACCAAUCCAGGUUGCCCAGAAAAUAUCUACCAAACUCUUUCAGACUUAUCCUGUUUCUCACAAGAGAAACAGAUUACAGAGCAUUUACCAGUCAGAAUCUCUGAUAACAUUAGUAACACUGAGAUUGAUGUUAAAAAUGGAAACCAUCCCUCCCAAUGGGUGAGGCUGAGCUGGUUCCAACUAUGAGACAGAGAAUCUUAUGUGCUUCCAGAAAAAAAAAAUGAGGUGAAAGAAGAAAAUCCUUCUUUUGGCAAUGGGCUGAGAGUAGGGCAGACUAGGAGGCAUCCAGUAGAACCCGAACAAAGAAAAGUGCAGUAAUUAAAGAAGUCACAAUACA
Molecule: non-coding RNA, 908 nt
Organism: Callithrix jacchus (white-tufted-ear marmoset)
Lineage: Eukaryota; Metazoa; Chordata; Mammalia; Primates; Cebidae
Source: RefSeq, a predicted model, not a curated record